UACGUAGGAUGCAAGCGUUGUCCGGUUUUAUUGGGUUUAAAGGGCGCGUAGGCGGCCUAUUAAGGUAGUGGUGAAAACGUUCGGCUUAACCGGAUACCCGCCAUUGAUACUGAUAGACUUGAGUGCGACAGAGGGUGUUGGAAUGUGUGGUGUAGCGGUGAAAUGCUUAGAUAUCACGCAGAACACCAAUUGCGAAGGCAGAUGCCUAUGUCGUAACUGACGCUGAGGCACGAAAGCGUUGGGAGCAAACAGG
RNAcentral lists this ribosomal RNA (253 nucleotides) under uncultured bacterium. Its description in RNAcentral is "partial 16S ribosomal RNA". It matches the Rfam family "Bacterial small subunit ribosomal RNA", at positions 524 to 776 of the family's 1533-position model. The record is from RNAcentral.